RNAcentral lists this ribosomal RNA (451 nucleotides) under uncultured bacterium. RNAcentral's name for it is "partial 16S ribosomal RNA". It matches the Rfam family "Bacterial small subunit ribosomal RNA", at positions 354 to 796 of the family's 1533-position model. The record is from RNAcentral.
GUGGGGAAUAUUGCGCAAUGGGGGAAACCCUGACGCAGCGACGCCGUGUGAGGGAAGAAGGCUUUCGGGUCGUAAACCUCUGUCAGAAAGGAAGAACCUCCCAAGUCCGAAUAGGGCUUGGGACUGACGGUACUUUCAAAGGAAGCACCGGCUAACUCCGUGCCAGCAGCCGCGGUAAUACGGAGGGUGCAAGCGUUAAUCGGAAUCACUGGGCGUAAAGCGCGCGUAGGCCGCUUUGUAAGUCGGACGUGAAAGCCCUCGGCUCAACCGGGGAACUGCGUUCGAUACUGCGAGGCUUGAGUCCUGGAGAGGGUGGCGGAAUUCCUGGUGUAGGAGUGAAAUCCGUAGAUAUCAGGAGGAACACCGGUGGCGAAGGCGGCCACCUGGACGGGUACUGACGCUGAGGCACGAAAGCGUGGGGAGCAAACAGGAUUAGAUACCCUAGUAGUCC